UGCACUUUCAAAUGAAUUUGCUUUCAAAAUAAAUGAAGAGCAGCUGUCCUUCUUUCCUCUUUUAAGUGUUCAGCUGUGGCAUGCUCAGAGGUUCCUGCUGGAUUCCAGCUGGAGCAGUGUGAUACCCUUCUUUUUCAGCUGUUCGUGCCUUCCUUUCUUGUAUCCACCAAAGUGGAGACAAAAACAUGAUCUCAAAGAUACACAGUACCUACUUAAUUCCAGCUGAUGGGAGACCAAAGAAUUUGCAAGUGGAUGGUUUGGUAUCACUGUAAAUAAAAAGAGGGCCUGGGA
This 291-nucleotide long non-coding RNA is filed under the name Homo sapiens (human). RNAcentral's name for it is "LHRI_LNC1531.1". The record is from RNAcentral. Lineage: Eukaryota; Metazoa; Chordata; Mammalia; Primates; Hominidae.